Molecule: non-coding RNA, 1258 nt
Organism: Taeniopygia guttata (zebra finch)
Lineage: Eukaryota; Metazoa; Chordata; Aves; Passeriformes; Estrildidae
Source: RefSeq, a predicted model, not a curated record
CAAAGCGCUUCUCCCUCCCCUCUUGGCGGAAGAUAAUUCAAACCCAUCUGAUAUUCACAGACAGUUGGACAGCAGCUGAGGUUUCAUCAGGAAUCCCACGUAUGGCCAGAAGCAACAUACACCUCGAUGUUUCCGGGAGCCACAGGCAGCCAGAACAGAUGGUAGAAAUCAUCAUCCCCAGACAGUCAUCAGGGGAACCUCAGGCCACAUGCUUGAAUUUUUCUCAAUGGAGCGCAUAGAAGGCAGGCAUUCGAUCCAUGUGACGGCAGCUGCCGGUCCUGCGGGAGCGGGAGGCAGCAGAACGGAGGAAGGCUCUCGCAGGUUAUUAACAGGUCACGCUGUGACAUUAGCAGUCCGGAAAUAUCGCCUCUCCCAGGGGGCUAAGACAAAAGCAAGGGAGAGGUUCCUCGUAAUUCAAACACAGUUCAGUGCUUACAGAUUACAGCACAUAAUCUGCUUGGCAACAGCACACAGAGACACUCUACUGUCUGACUUCCCUCUUCUAGCUGCUUUCUCUAGAAAUGUCAGAAGGAAUCCUUGAUGCAGCAAAUGUCCUAUGCAAAUCUCGAGGGAGGAAGAGCGCAACUUCCCUGCAAUUUUCAGAAUGAAACCUGGAGGCAAAGCUGAUGGUGACAGCUCAACUCCUUCAUUCAGAUGUCGCUAACCUUUUUGUUCCAUUUGUGACAUGCUAUAUGCAGCAUUCCUCAUUGAUCAUCACUGCCUGUCUGAAUCACCCAGUCCCUUCUGUGAGCAGUGAGACUUUCUGCAACUGUCAGCCUCAUUAGAGGGAAAAUUUCCUUGGUGACAUUUUGGAGGAAACAAGGCAUUUGGAGGAACAGUCUUAAAAUAUUGCAUUUGACAAAGUGGAUGGUUUUAAAAAUCAUUGCCCCAGCCCUACAACUGCCUCUUCAGUCUCACCACAGCUCUCCUGUGUACAGCCAGCCGUGCAAGCCAGUCUGCAGAUGGAAACUCUCCAAACCCCAGGCCUGCUUUAAACCUUCUUUGAUGACAGGAUUUUCUAAUUUUAGGAAGUUCCACUGUUUCCUGCCUUGUAGAAUAGACAGUCUCCACUCACACUUCUGGUAUUUUUUUUUCUACUGUGCUGGAUACUGCAUUCCCCACUCUCUUGCUUGCUUAUUCAUUCCUGGUAAGCCUCUCUGUGGAUAGAUCUCAGCUGGUAACGCUCAGCUUCUCCAGCAAAUUCAGUGUUCACUGGACUGUUGGUUAGAAUAAAAAAUCCUUAGUCCUGUCCUAAGGA